UUAACUCGAAUUUGUACGGAGUUGGAACGUUUGCCUACGUUUGCCGCUAGGGGGCGCUGUUCCGACUGCACACGGGCUCAACCUC
This 85-nucleotide microRNA precursor is filed under the name Bombyx mori (domestic silkworm). RNAcentral's name for it is "mir-2807 microRNA precursor family". It matches the Rfam family "mir-2807 microRNA precursor family". Lineage: Eukaryota; Metazoa; Arthropoda; Insecta; Lepidoptera; Bombycidae. The record is from Rfam by way of RNAcentral.